RNAcentral lists this ribosomal RNA (500 nucleotides) under uncultured bacterium. RNAcentral's name for it is "partial 16S ribosomal RNA". It matches the Rfam family "Bacterial small subunit ribosomal RNA", at positions 29 to 523 of the family's 1533-position model. The record is from RNAcentral.
AUUGAACGCUGGCGGAAUGCUUUACACAUGCAAGUCGAGCGGCAGCGCGGGGGCAACCCUGGCGGCGAGCGGCGAACGGGUGAGCAAUACAUCGGAACGUACCCAGUGGUGGGGGAUAACACAUCGAAAGAUGUGCUAAUACCGCAUACGACCUGAGGGUGAAAGGGGGGGAUCGCAAGACCUCUUGCCGUUGGAGCGGCCGAUGUCGGAUUAGCUAGUUGGUGGGGUAAAGGCUCACCAAGGCGACGAUCCGUAGCUGGUCUGAGAGGAUGAUCAGCCACACUGGGACUGAGACACGGCCCAGACUCCUACGGGAGGCAGCAGUGGGGAAUUUUGGACAAUGGGGGCAACCCUGAUCCAGCCAUUCCGCGUGAGUGAAGAAGGCCUUCGGGUUGUAAAGCUCUUUCGGCAGGAACGAAACGGUGGGGGCUAAUAUCCUUCAUCAAUGACGGUACCUGAAGAAGAAGCACCGGCUAACUACGUGCCAGCAGCCGCAGUAA